UUUAAUGAGAGUUUGAUCCUGGCUCAGGACGAACGCUGGCGGCGUGCCUAAUACAUGCAAGUAGAACGCUGAAGGAGGAGCUUGCUUCUCUGGAUGAGUUGCGAACGGGUGAGUAACGCGUAGGUAACCUGCCUGGUAGCGGGGGAUAACUAUUGGAAACGAUAGCUAAUACCGCAUAAGAGUAGAUGUUGCAUGACAUUUGCUUAAAAGGUGCACUUGCAUCACUACCAGAUGGACCU
Molecule: ribosomal RNA, 239 nt
Filed under: Klebsiella pneumoniae
Lineage: Bacteria; Pseudomonadati; Pseudomonadota; Gammaproteobacteria; Enterobacterales; Enterobacteriaceae
Also listed under: 1 other name
Description: partial 16S ribosomal RNA
Rfam family: Bacterial small subunit ribosomal RNA
Source: RNAcentral